Molecule: long non-coding RNA, 452 nt
Filed under: Coccomyxa subellipsoidea
Lineage: Eukaryota; Viridiplantae; Chlorophyta; Trebouxiophyceae; Coccomyxaceae
Description: long non-coding RNA (CSUB_LNC000767)
Source: RNAcentral
CUCUCCGCUUUGUUGGCCAGCAAACCCUGCUGCAGUGUUUCCUGGCUGUAUGCGCCCUUACUGCUGAUGGCCUCGUACCCAUCCAAGUCCUUUUCUUGCAGCAGCUUCUCCAACGGGAAUCUCAACUUUAGAGCCUGCCAGCUCUGCUUUGUCCAGACCGUCUCAUCGUGUAUAUAUAAAUAUUUGGCGCUGGCCAGCACCAGAGCGAUGCAGAAUAGGAAACAGCACAGUGGACCUCUGUGAUACCUCCGCAUGAUUUAUAAGGAUAAGAUCAAUAAGGGACCACCAUCACAGGGUAUAAUGUCCGUUCAAUCCUUCACCGAUCAUCAUCCGGUCCAAUAGAAAUUCUGUAGAAGCACAGGUGAGCCUGCUCUGGGUUCGAGAUCAAGAGCACUGUACAUUCCAGAUUGACAGCAUGAUUCUCUGAAAUUCAGCUGAAUUGCUUGGUCAUU